CGGGAUGUAGCGCAGCUUGGUAGCGCACCUCGUUCGGGACGAGGGGGUCGCAGGUUCAAAUCCUGUCAUCCCGACUA
Molecule: transfer RNA, 77 nt
Filed under: Arthrospira sp. PLM2.Bin9
Lineage: Bacteria; Bacillati; Cyanobacteriota; Cyanophyceae; Oscillatoriales; Microcoleaceae
Description: tRNA-Pro
Rfam family: tRNA
About the family: Transfer RNA (tRNA) molecules are approximately 80 nucleotides in length. Their secondary structure includes four short double-helical elements and three loops (D, anti-codon, and T loops).
Source: RNAcentral